UUGGAGUUCUAGAAUUUCCCAGAUAGACAUCUUCUCUUCAUCUUCAAUCCUAUCUCAUCUCAUCACCGAUGGUGUGUAAAUGAUGGUGCACCGCUUCUUUGGUGGUGUUUCAUAGCUCCAACGUGGUAAGCCCCAUGACGCCUUCGGUAUCUUCUUGACACUCGAGAUCUACUUCUCCAACCACCACCCGAGUAAGUAUCUUCUAGAUCUCUAUUUUUGUGCCUUAAUGACGCUUUCAGGGAUAGAUGCUCAUCGAUCUCUUGUUUUUCAUUUCUGUCAAAUGUUAUCUAUAUAGCACAUCUUCAAGAUCUGAUUCUCCAACUGUCUUUUUUUUUCCUUUUUUGCAGUUGCUUUGUAGAUCUUAUCAGCUGUGAUCCUUGUUAAACUCGAUUUACUACUUUCUCCAUUCCUUUUGACUUGUUCAGAAUUUACUUUCAAGGACUGUGAGAAGCCAGUGAGAUUUAUUAUCUAUAGAGUGGAGAGUAGGUGAAUUUCGCGAAAAAUGUGAUUGAUGUGCUAAUAUCAACUUUCGUGAGUGGCAAGUCCAUGCUUGAGUUAGAAAUAGAAAGUUUUAAUUAAUUUUUAUUUUUUAUUGCAUGUUAGAAAGUGAUUUGGACAUUGGAACAGAGCAGUCUACCUUUUGGAUAAAUCUCAACAAUAAGUGUUUUUUUCCUAAAAUAUUCAUUGAGAGUUCUGAAAAUUUUGAUAAAAAUUAGAAAAAUGUUGAUGAAAAAAAUUCUCAAGGUUGAAUUUGAGAUAAGAAUCAUUGAGAAGAACUCAAGAGUUAGCAAAAAAAAAAAAAAAAAAGGAAAAGACAUAGUUGGAAAGAAAAUUUAAUUGAAUUGAAAAUGAAAAAGAAAAAUAAAACGUGGGGAGGCAAAAAGAAAAAAAUGAGAAAACAAAGUGAAAAAGUAAGAAGAUAAUUCAUUUAAUGUGAAAGAGUGGUGUAUUGUCGCUACUAAAUUACUUCCAUCAUAGUUGUCUAAUACAAGAUCACUGAGGGGUGAGGAGAGAUUCUAUCAAAUGGUAAAGGAUUUAUUUUGCAUGUUUCUGGAGUUAUUACUAUCGUCGUUCAUUAUUGUAAUAGAAUCGGUCCAGUGAAACAUGCGUGGUUUGAAAUUUUCAACAAUAAUGUAGAGAUCGCAAGGAGAGAUAGAGGGAAUUCUAAUAUUGUUGAGUAUGCGUGCUAUGAGACAUUAGAGGGAAUUCUAAUAUUGUUGAGUAUGCGUGCUAUGAGACAUCAUCCAAAAAUGUGGAGAGCAUUAUGUGUCAUGGCUUAGAAAUGCUUAGGAUUGUAGUCAAUUUUCAUACUUAUAUUGGUGGUAUAUACUUAUCACUUGUAUGCUCGCCUCAAACUAAGUAUGUUUCUCGAGGGUUUGGGCCACAGGUGAUAAAAGAGUUUUAAAAUGAGGUGUAGGUGACACAAGUCUUAAUUAUUAGUUGGAGGUGACAAUUAUUUUAUUAUGUAUCAAGAAAGUUGGGGAAGUUUGAAAAUAACCCACAAGUUUUUAAAUUUAUAAUUUGAUCUUAAUGUAUACCUAAAAUAACGGAAAAUGGAGGGGCAAAAAGGCGUUUUUCUCUCUUUUCUCAUCCAUUGUUGUUUUUUCUCUCUUAGCGAUUUUUGUUAUUAAUUGUUUUUGUUUCUGCUGCUUUAUUUAUCAUCUUCUGGUUUAUUAUCAUCAUCUUCUACUUUAUUAUUAUUUCAUCUUCUUCUUGUCGAUCAUUUGUUGUUGUUAUUGUUGGUACAGCGCUACUGCUGCGAUCUUAUCAAUUUCUUAGGUCAAGUUUUGUUUACUACAUCACUUUUCACUUUGGCAUUACUUCAUAGGUGACUUUGAUAAGUAAAAUUAUGAUUUUUAUUCGUAUUUGUUAUCUGGGUGCACUUCUGUUUUUCCAACAAUAGAUAGAACCUCGAUUAUGAAUUCAGCAUAAGUGCCCACAAUUUAAAGAGAUUAAUCAUCUGGUACAUCAGAUGAAUAAUCUGUUGCAUCAUCGUAUUAUCUGCUGCAUCAGACAUAUUAUCUGUUGUAUCUGGAUGUUUAUCUGUUGCAACGAAUGAUUAAUCUGUUUGAAACAACACGAAUCAACCCCUGUCACAAAUCCAACAGAUAAAUCUUGCUAUUGCUACUGGAUUUUAAAUUAUUCCUUUUUACGUCGAAUCGUCGACAUGUUGUUGAGAAGAUAAUAAACAGAAUCAAAAUUAAAUAUGAAUUAAAACGUCAAAGAUCAAACAUAAUUUAUUUAUUAAACAAAUAAAAAUACAUAUAAUGGACUAAAAGAAAAAUAAUAGUCUAAUUAUUAUUAUUAUUAUCAGCAUCAUCAUUGCUAGUCGGUUAAUCUUCAACUGGAAGUAGCAAGGCUCUCCUCAACCUGCGUAUCUCGUGGAGCAUUCUUGAUCUAACUUCUCCCAGUUCCCAUUGCAGAUCACGAACUUGAUUUUGAAGUUCAUUCAUGGUAUCUUGCAGAAAAGCAAUGUCCCACAUUGGGUCAGCCAUAAUCUUAUCUUCUAGAGUGUAAUAUGAAAGACGAGAUGCAAUGAAUAAAUAGAGUAUUUGAAUGAACGAUUGAGUAAGGACAGACCUAUUUAUAGAGGAUUGAAUUUGAAUGAGAGGCAAAAAAAUGCGACUAUUUACUUCCAUACAUUAAUUACAUUUUUUAUUAAAUUAAGAAAAUAAAUAUUGUGAUAUAAGUCAUGACUUUUCAGAUUAUUAUUAUUAAUUAGUUCUUUUGAAGAACCGUUUUUAUUGAGUUGUGACAACAGAUUCUAUAUCUGUUGCAUCAGAUAACAUAUCUGUGACAACAAAUAUAUUAUUUGUUGCAUCAAAUAACAUAUCUGUUGCAACAUAUAAUCUAUCUGUUCACCUUCAUUUAUUAAUUACAUUUUUUAUUAAUGUGAAAAGUAAUGAAUUAAUUAAAUUAAGAAAUAUUGUGAUAAGUCAUGACUUUUCAGAUUAUUAUUAUUAAUUAGUUCUUUUCAAGAACUGCUUUUAUUGAGUUGUGACUCGAUAUAGGUUGCAUCAGAUAAAUCAUCUGUGACAAUAGAUAUAUCAUCUGUUGCAAUCAUAGUGAACCUGUUGCAUCAGAUAAUUUAAUUGUUGCAAUAUAUAAUCCAUUUUUUUAAAAAAAAAUAACUAUAUCAUCAUAUCAUUAAUUCAAAUUUGCUUACUUUUUUAUUUUAUAAAUUAAAAAAAUACCUUUUCAAAUUUCGUAACAAAAUAAUAACCAUUUUAUUAUAUAAUAAAUAAUUUAAAAAAUAAAUUCAAAAACAAAAAUGGUAAAAAGUCACGAUCAGUUAUUAAAAUUGUGUUUAUUAUUUAUUUAUGAAACAUUUUUCGUAUUGAAUAAUCGGAACGGAAAGUCAUGUCUUUUUCUUUUCAUCCUCUCAAUAACAACAAUAGUCCUUUUUUAUUAAUAACCGUCAGGUAAAACAUAUGAUCGAUCUGUCGUAGUAGAUUAACUUCUAAUUGUUGACAUAAAUUGCUGCUCAAUUUCUACCACCAACCGUCGACAUGUUGAGAACAAGGAAUAAGCAGAAUGAUUAUUAUUAAAUACUAAAUAAGAAUUAAAAAUUUAAAGUCGACAACAAAAUGAAAUGAAUGUUCAUAGAUUUUUGAAUCCCUUGGGUAGAUUUGAUAUACAAAAGUAGGAAAAUAAUCGCUAAAAUAAAAAAUAUUACCCAAUUAUUAUUACUAUUAUUAUUAUUAUUGUCAAUCAGACAUCUUUCAUCCGGCAGCCUUGCUCCGAAGUCAGUCAAAUCUCUUUGGAGUUCAUCAAACUGUAUUUGAAGUUCACGCAAGGACUUGAUAUGAAUAUUCUUGUACGAAUCUGGAUCAUCCAUAUUUGUAAGGAGGGACCUAUUUAUAAAUUAUUGUAUCUCGGAAAGAAAAGAAAAUUGCUUUAAAAUAAAUCUAACAGAUGGGUAAUCUGUUACAAAAUCUAUUCUUUCUAUUAGAUAACUUACAACAUACUUGCAAUCUUUUGACAAUAUAAACAGAUGUGUCAUCUGUUGCAACAAGUUAGUCAUCUGUUUAUUCAAUUUAAGCCAUAGAUGGGCUAGGAAGA
Molecule: long non-coding RNA, 4062 nt
Filed under: Capsicum annuum
Lineage: Eukaryota; Viridiplantae; Streptophyta; Magnoliopsida; Solanales; Solanaceae
Description: long non-coding RNA (CANN_LNC006313)
Source: RNAcentral